Molecule: long non-coding RNA, 220 nt
Filed under: Elaeis guineensis (African oil palm)
Lineage: Eukaryota; Viridiplantae; Streptophyta; Magnoliopsida; Arecales; Arecaceae
Description: long non-coding RNA (EGUI_LNC079797)
Source: RNAcentral
AGUUGGAGAUGAGAUUUGGCUCUCGUAGGAGUUCGGGCGAAGUCUACCUGCAAUUAAAGUUAAGGGCGAAGUCCGGCUCCCUUAGGAGUCUGGACGAAGUUUACCAGCAGUUGAGGUCGGGGACGGAGCCCAGCUCUCGUAGGAGUCUGGGCGAAGCCUUCCAGCAGUUCAGGUCGGGGACGAAGUCCGGCUCCCGUAGGAGUCCAUACGAAAUCUUCCU